This is a long non-coding RNA of Ostrea edulis (European flat oyster), 1581 nucleotides long. RefSeq lists it as uncharacterized. NCBI's taxonomy places the organism in Eukaryota, Metazoa, Mollusca, Bivalvia, Ostreida, Ostreidae. The record is from RefSeq and is a predicted model, not a curated record. The transcript is spliced from 2 exons.
AUUAAAAGUCACUUGAUGAUAUUCUAAAUUCAUAACUAUCUCUUCAAGUCCAUGCUACAAUGAAAGAGAACAUGUACUAGAUAAAAAUAUUGGAAACAGGAUGCUAAUUUGUUAAGGUGUGACAAUUCCACUAGACUACCAAAAAAAUUUUUGAAAAAAGACGAAUUAUUACAAACCAAAAGUAAAAAUACUAACCAGCAACGCCGUGUAUUUUGAACAACUAGGCCUAUCCCUCAGUUUCUGAGUGUAAGGUGAAUCCUAUAUUCCUAUCUGGAAUCCAUUCCAUGCUUGAUUGCAUACUGAUUCUGUUGAAUGUUCUCCAUCCUUGCGAAUAUUUCCCUGACUUCGCGCCCAGAAAGGAACAUUGAAAAAAAAGCGCUUUGAUCACUUGCGUGAACGUCAGGUCGUACACUGACUGACUCGUCCCCAGGUCAACACGUAACCAAAAGACGAUCAGUAAAAAGUUAUACAAUCGACCAGUGGAAACCCAGUGUAUAAGACUUCAUAUAUAUACAUAUGAUAUAUUUUAUACAUGAUAUAUCUUAUAUCGAAUUAGAACGGGGAGAAGAAAAAAACACGACAAGCUUCGUACAUUGUACAAGUUGACCGAAACGACAUCACCGGAAGUUACAACUUUCAAAGAAGUCAUUUAUGAUUUAAAGAUUUGUGAAUGGAAAUCAAUAACAUCGGAAUGAAAAAGGACUACGGGGUAACGGAUGACACUCUGAGAUUGAGAACCCAAAAGGUACAUGCUGUGCAAGAAAGAUGUAAACAUGCGAAUUCCUAAAUGUACUAAAUAUUAAAACAUCAACUGCAAUCUUCAGUGGUGACAUCCAAAAGUUGAUAUGCCAUUGGUACUUCAAGUGAUACGACCGUGACAUUGGAAAAUCCUUUUAACUUAUCAUCACUUGAGCCUGAAUUGCAAUCCUUUUGAUACAGACAUUUUUUUAAGUUCAGUUUUGAACAUUAAUGCCGCUGUGUCAUCUCUGGAAAUGGAAAAGCCUACCACAGAAUCUGAUGAAUUUUUUAACAUUCUUUCACAAAAAGGGAUCUUCUUUAUUUUGAAGAAGGUAGCCCAGGAACUGGAAAUCUGUUAUCAAAAUGAUCUUAAUAAUACACUGGACAAUAUUCUAACCUUAAAAAAAAACAUGACAAACCCGAUUGAACUCCUGUGAUGAAGCAUCUCAAAACUCAAAUUAUGGUAGUCUUUCAAGUGACAUUGAGGAUUUCAAUAGUGCAUUUGACAGUAAAGUGAUUUUUAUUCAAGUUCAGAUUGUUGUCAUUAUAAAUUUAUAAGAAGUGUUCUCAUAGCCAACAUUUUUCAAGUCUACUUUUGAUGAAAUAUAGUCUUUUCUAUUACAACUUAUUAUGACAUGAUUGUUGUUGUAUACAUAAAUGUUCUUAUCCACGAAUCAUUCACUGUUCUUAUAGGUUUUCUUUUUAGCCUGAACUAUGUAGCAAUGACAUGUCAAGGUAAUCCAGAAAAUGUAAAAUCUUUUCUUUGAUAUGACAAGGAUUUAAUUUUGUAACAAUUAAUAUCUAAAAGUCCUGUAACCCUCAUUAAAGUCCUUUAUAAUCUGA